Molecule: ribosomal RNA, 808 nt
Filed under: Lindholmia nordmanni
Lineage: Eukaryota; Metazoa; Mollusca; Gastropoda; Stylommatophora; Helicidae
Description: Helix nordmanni partial 16S ribosomal RNA
Source: RNAcentral
GAUUAUAAAACGUACUAUAAAUUUUUUUGCACGAAUUAGGGGGAGCUAACCAUAUAUUGUUUUUAGACGUAGCCAUGCGUUGCAUAGCAAUGAAGUAAAUGUAUGUUUAGGGGUGAUAGGCCUGUCAAACCUUAGGAUAACUUGUUGCAUAGGAUAAAUAUUAAGUAUUGCGACAUACUCACAAAGUUAAGCUUGUUAGGCGAAAUUAAAGGCGAUAUAUAACGAAAUAUAUAAUAUAAUUGUUAAUAUUUCUAUUUAUAGGCAUAAUAAUCGUGUUAUUAUGGCUCAUACUAUGCCGCUAAAGGGACUUUUAAGACGUUGAUAAUGUAAUUAUUAGUAGAUUAUCUAAGUAUGUUUAAGGAACUCGGCAACAUGUCGCUCAGCUGUUUAUCAAAAACACCGCCAUGCGAGAUAAUGCAUGGUUUUUUCUGCUCAAUGAUAUAUUAAAUAGCCGCAGUACCUUGACUGUGCAAAGGUAGCAUAAUCAGUUGGCUUUUAAUUGGAGUCUGGGAUGAAUGAAAUAAUGGGUGGCAACUUUCUCAAAUAUAUUAUUAUGAAUUUGGUUAGUAGGUGCAAAUACCUACAUAAAAACAAAAGACGAGAAGACCCUAGAAGCUUAAAUAUGAUUUUGUUGGGGCGACAGAAUUACAUUAAACUAAUUCUUAUUACUCGAUGUAAAGGAGAUAGAAUAAGCUACUCUAGGGAUAACAGCAUAAUUUUAGAAGUUUGUGACCUCGAUGUUGGAUUAGGGCCAUUAUGUCUUAGGAGGGUAUGAUGUCAAGCUCUGUUCGAGCAGUAUAACCUACAU